CAAAGUGUAGCUUAUCCCAAAGCACCUGGCCUACGCCCCAGAAGAUUCCAUGCAAAAUGGCCACUUUGA
RNAcentral lists this transfer RNA (69 nucleotides) under Dobsonia minor. Its description in RNAcentral is "tRNA-Phe". Lineage: Eukaryota; Metazoa; Chordata; Mammalia; Chiroptera; Pteropodidae. The record is from RNAcentral.